CCUACGGGUGGCAGCAGUGAGGAAUAUUGGUCAAUGUGCGAGAGCCUGAACCAGCCAAGUCGCGUGAAGGAUGGAAGAUCUAUGGUUUGUAAACUUCUUUUAUAUGGGAAUAAAGUGAGGAACGUGUUCCUUUUUGUAUGUACCAUAUGAAUAAGGAUCGGCUAACUCCGUGCCAGCAGCGGCGGUAAUACGGAGGAUGCGAGCGUUAUCCGGAUUUAUUGGGUUUAAAGGGUGCGUAGGUGGUUUAUUAAGUCAGUGGUGAAAGUUUGUGGCUCAACCAUAAAAUUGCAGUUGAUACUGGUUGACUUGAGUAUAGUUGAGGUAGGCGGAAUGCGUGGUGUAGCGGUGAAAUGCAUAGAUAUCACGAAGAACUCCGAUUGCGAAGGCAGCUUACUAAACUAUAACUGACACUGAGGCACGAAAGCGUGGGGAUCAAACAGGAUUAGAUACCCGGGUAGUC
RNAcentral lists this ribosomal RNA (460 nucleotides) under uncultured bacterium. RNAcentral's name for it is "partial 16S ribosomal RNA". It matches the Rfam family "Bacterial small subunit ribosomal RNA", at positions 338 to 795 of the family's 1533-position model. The record is from RNAcentral.